RNAcentral lists this ribosomal RNA (164 nucleotides) under Euphorbia heteradena. RNAcentral's name for it is "5.8S ribosomal RNA". It matches the Rfam family "5.8S ribosomal RNA". From Rfam's summary of the family: 5.8S ribosomal RNA (5.8S rRNA) is a component of the large subunit of the eukaryotic ribosome. The record is from RNAcentral. Lineage: Eukaryota; Viridiplantae; Streptophyta; Magnoliopsida; Malpighiales; Euphorbiaceae.
AAAACGACUCUCGGCAACGGAUAUCUCGGCUCUCGCAUCGAUGAAGAACGCAGCGAAAUGCGAUACUUGGUGUGAAUUGCAGGAUCCCGCGAAUCAUCGAGUCUUUGAACGCAAGUUGCGCCCGAAGCCUUUCGGCCGAGGGCACGUCUGCCUGGGUGUCACUC